This 291-nucleotide long non-coding RNA is filed under the name Elaeis guineensis (African oil palm). RNAcentral's name for it is "long non-coding RNA (EGUI_LNC022162)". Lineage: Eukaryota; Viridiplantae; Streptophyta; Magnoliopsida; Arecales; Arecaceae. The record is from RNAcentral.
CCCUCGCCGAUGCUUCUCCAAGAUAACAAAAUUAAAACCCAAUUUGAAUUCUUUUGAUAGUCCUAAUACCAACAUAUUGUUUAUUUCUAAUCUUAUUGUAUUAAAAAAAUUUGGAGGCAAACAAAAAAAAAAAAAAGACUUCUUCCCUUUUGUUGCUUAUUGCAACCUUGCACUCCCCUCCACUCAUUAAGGAUGAUGAUAACAAUGGCAACAAACAAUAUUGUUUUAAGUGACCAAGGAAAAUAGUGGAAGAGAAGAGAGGUAAGAAGAAGGGGAGGGAUCAAGAGCAGC